UACGUAGGGGGCAAGCGUUGUCCGGAAUCAUUGGGCGUAAAGCGCACGUAGGCGGCUUAGCAAGUCGGAAGUGAAAUCCCUCGGCUCAACCAAGGAAGUGCUUUCGAAACUGCUGAGCUUGAGUACUAAAGAGGAUCGCGGAAUUCCCGGUGUAGAGGUGAAAUUCGUAGAUAUCGGGAGGAACACCAGUGGCGAAGGCGGCGAUCUGGGUAGAUACUGACGCUGAGGUGCGAAAGCGUGGGGAGCAAACAGG
RNAcentral lists this ribosomal RNA (253 nucleotides) under uncultured bacterium. RNAcentral describes it as "partial 16S ribosomal RNA". It matches the Rfam family "Bacterial small subunit ribosomal RNA", at positions 524 to 776 of the family's 1533-position model. The record is from RNAcentral.